UGAAGUUAAAGGCUGUGGNUUAACCAUAGUACGCUUUGGAAACUGUUUAACUUGAGUGCAGGAGGGGAGAGUGGAAUUCCAUGUGUAGCGGUGAAAUGCGUAGAUAUAUGGAGGAACACCGGUGGCGAAAGCGGCUNUCUGGUCUGUAACUGACGCUGAGGCUNGAAAGCGUGGGGAGCGAACAGGAUUAGAUACCCUGGUAGUCCACGCCGUAAACGAUGAGUGCUAGGUGUUAGGCCCUUUCCGGGGCUUAGUGCCGCAGCUAACGCAUUAAGCACUCCGCCUGGGGAGUACGACCGCAAGGUUGAAACUCAAAGGAAUUGACGGGGGCCCGCACAAGCGGUGGAGCAUGUGGUUUAAUUCGAAGCAACGCGAAGAACCUUACCAGGUCUUGACAUCCCGAUGCCCGCUCUAGAGAUAGAGUUUUACUUCGGUACAUCGGUGACAGGUGGUGCAUGGUUGUCGUCAGCUCGUGUCGUGAGAUGUUGGGUUAAGUCCCGCAACGAGCGCAACCCUUAUUGUUAGUUGCCAUCAUUCAGUUGGGCACUCUAGCGAGACUGCCGGUAAUAAACCGGAGGAAGGUGGGGAUGACGUCAAAUCAUCAUGCCCCUUAUGACCUGGGCUACACACGUGCUACAAUGGCUGGUACAACGAGUCGCAAGUCGGUGACGGCAAGCUAAUCUCUUAAAGCCAGUCUCAGUUCGGAUUGUAGGCUGCAACUCGCCUACAUGAAGUCGGAAUCGCUAGUAAUCGCGGAUCAGCACGCCGCGGUGAAUACGUUCCCGGGCCUUGUACACACCGCCCGUCACACCACGAGAGUUUGUGACACCCGAAGUCGGUGAGGUANCCUUUUAGGAGCCA
This 861-nucleotide ribosomal RNA is filed under the name uncultured bacterium. RNAcentral describes it as "bacterial SSU rRNA". It matches the Rfam family "Bacterial small subunit ribosomal RNA", at positions 590 to 1451 of the family's 1533-position model. The record is from RNAcentral.